GGCUCAUUAAUAUAGUUGUAGCUUAUGCGAUGUUCUAUUGUUAGUCGGAUAACUUCGCUAACGCGAUGCUAAUACGUGCUUAAACUCUUCGGAGUUGCACUUGUUAGAUUAAAAUCGACCGAUUCCAUGCAAGUGGUUUUGUGCUGGUGAUUCAUAACAAUUUAGCGGACCGGAGUUUCGGCUCCGGCAGAUCGCCAAGGCUUCUAUCUUAUCAACUUUCGAUUGUUGUGUAUUGGACAACAAUGGUGAUGACGAGUAACGGGGAAUUAGGGUUUGGUUCCGGAGAGAAAGCUUGAGAAACGGCUUUCACUUCUAAGGAAGGCAGCAGGCGCGUAAAUUAUCCAAUGGACAUUGUCUGAGAUAGCGACGAAAUAUAUCAAGAUUUGACAAUUUGUCGAGUCAUUGAAAUGAAACGCAAUUAAAAUGCGCUAUAAAAGUCUAGUGGAGGGCAAGUCUGGUGCCAGCAGCCGCGGCAACACCAGCUCCACGAGUGUAUACUAAAGUUGUUGUUGUUAAAAAGCCCGUAGUCGAUUUUUGGGAUGUUAGAACUAGUCCUCCAGAAAUUCUGGUGCUGUACUGGUUCUCCAGUCCUUUUGUACUGUCGAUCUUUUCGUCCUUUACUGGAUGAUUGGUUUGAUUGUACCGUUUACCAUGAAGAAAUUGGAUUGUUCAAAAAAGGCUUAAUGCAAUUGUACAAUCAAGCGUGGAAUAACACUACAAGACUAGUGACUUGUUUUGUUGGUAUGAGUUGCGAGUAAUGAGAAAUAGGAACGGUUUGGGGCUGUUUGUACUGGAAUGUGAGCGGUGAAAUGUUUUGAUCAUUCCAUGACAAACUGAUGCGAAAGCGUUCAGCAAGGACGUUUUCAUUGAUCAGUGGGCGAAAGCUAGGAGAGAGAAGGCGAUCAGACACCACCGUAUUCCUAGCUAUAAACGAUGUCGACUGGGGAUUGGAUGACGUACUAUAUAUUACUCCUUCAGCACCCUAUGAGAAAUCAAAGUUUUUGGACUCAAGGGGGAGUAUGGUCACAAGGCUGAAACUUAAAGGAAUUGACGGAAGAGCACCACCAGGUGUGGAGCUUGCGGCUUAAUUUGACCCAACACGGGAAAGCUUACCAAGGCAAGACAAAAGAAUGAUUGACAGAUUAAUAGCUCUUUCUUGAUUUUUUGGAAGGUGGUGCAUGGCCGCUGUGAGUUCGUGGAGUGAUUUGUCUGCUUGAUUGCGAUAACGAGCGAGACCAUCAUUCUUAGUUUCCAUUUUCGAAUCCUUUAGGAUUUGAAUUGUGUAUCUAAGAAGACUUUUGUUGUAAGGCAAAGGAAGUGGAUGGCUAUAGCAGGUCUGUGAUGCCCUUAGAUGUCUUGGGCCGCACGCGCGCUACACUGGUUGAUACAAUGAGUUACUUUCGCUGAUGAGCGUGAGGAAUCUGUAAAAAUCAACCGUGACUGGAAUUGAUGCUUGUAAUUAUUCAUCAUGAACUAGGAAUACCUUGUAAAUUCACUUCAUUAGAGUGAGUUGAAUAUGUCCCUGCUUUUUGUACACACCGCCCGUCGCUCCUACCGAUCGGACGUAUUGGCGAGUUUUUUGGACGUUUUUGUUGUAA
This 1598-nucleotide ribosomal RNA is filed under the name metagenome. RNAcentral's name for it is "bacterial SSU rRNA". It matches the Rfam family "Eukaryotic small subunit ribosomal RNA", at positions 95 to 1728 of the family's 1831-position model. The record is from RNAcentral.